GGGUUGUGAGGUUAAGCGACUAAGCGUACACGGUGGAUGCCCUGGCAGUCAGAGGCGAUGAAGGGCGUGCUAAUCUGCGAUAAGCGCCGGUAAGGUGAUAUGAACCGUUAUAACCGGCGAUACCCGAAUGGGGAAACCCAGUGUGAUUCGUCACACUAUCAUUAACUGAAUCCAUAGGUUAAUGAGGCGAACCGGGGGAACUGAAACAUCUAAGUACCCCGAGGAAAAGAAAUCAACCGAGAUUCCCCCAGUAGCGGCGAGCGAACGGGGAGGAGCCCAGAGCCUGAAUCAGCAUGUGUGUUAGUGGAAGCGUCUGGAAAGGCGCGCGAUACAGGGUGACAGCCCCGUACACAAAAGCGCAUGUGCUGUGAGCUCGAUGAGUAGGGCGGGACACGUGGUAUCCUGUCUGAAUAUGGGGGGACCAUCCUCCAAGGCUAAAUACUCCUGACUGACCGAUAGUGAACCAGUACCGUGAGGGAAAGGCGAAAAGAACCCCGGCGAGGGGAGUGAAAAAGAACCUGAAACCGUGUACGUACAAGCAGUGGGAGCACCCUUUGGGGUGUGACUGCGUACCUUUUGUAUAAUGGGUCAGCGACUUAUAUUCUGUAGCAAGGUUAACCGAAUAGGGGAGCCGGAGGGAAACCGAGUCUUAAUUGGGCGUUAAGUUGCAGGGUAUAGACCCGAAACCCGGUGAUCUAGCCAUGGGCAGGUUGAAGGUUGGGUAACACUAACUGGAGGACCGAACCGACUAAUGUUGAAAAAUUAGCGGAUGACCUGUGGCUGGGGGUGAAAGGCCAAUCAAACCGGGAGAUAGCUGGUUCUCCCCGAAAGCUAUUUAGGUAGCGCCUCGUGAAUUCAUCUCCGGGGGUAGAGCACUGUUUCGGCUAGGGGGCCAUCCCGGCUUACCAACCCGAUGCAAACUGCGAAUACCGGAGAAUGUUAUCACGGGAGACACACGGCGGGUGCUAACGUCCGUCGUGAAGAGGGAAACAACCCAGACCGCCAGCUAAGGUCCCAAAGUCAUGGUUAAGUGGGAAACGAUGUGGGAAGGCCCAGACAGCCAGGAUGUUGGCUUAGAAGCAGCCAUCAUUUAAAGAAAGCGUAAUAGCUCACUGGUCGAGUCGGCCUGCGCGGAAGAUGUAACGGGGCUAAACCAUGCACCGAAGCUGCGGCAGCGACACUCAGGUGUUGUUGGGUAGGGGAGCGUUCUGUAAGCCUG
This 1219-nucleotide ribosomal RNA is filed under the name Salmonella enterica subsp. enterica serovar Agona. Its description in RNAcentral is "partial 23S ribosomal RNA". It matches the Rfam family "Bacterial large subunit ribosomal RNA", at positions 1 to 1251 of the family's 2925-position model. The record is from RNAcentral. Lineage: Bacteria; Pseudomonadati; Pseudomonadota; Gammaproteobacteria; Enterobacterales; Enterobacteriaceae.